UAAGUGUAUUUAAUGCCGCCAAAAUCGACAGGGUAGUUUUUAAAUUAUUCCAAAAAAGUAGGAGUAGUUUUCUACUGCCUCUACUGGGAUUGAAUAUACUGUGUUCUCUAAUACAACAAAUAAUAAGUUAAUUAUUACAAAACACGUUUUCAAAUAUUCCGCCAUUUUAGUUACACUGCACUUAUUGAACUUAAUCGAAAGCAGGUGCAACAAAAUCUGCACUAACUUGCACCGGCUGCACUAAAUUGCACAGCACCUGGCCCAACGAACAGUAUGAGUGCAACUGCACUAAACUGCACUUCUUUAUACGUUAAGUAGUACUUUUGAAAGAACUAAUAAGGGUUAGUAGUUUGGUAUAGAAAAUAUAUUUCGCUAAUAAUUGAAAGAAAUAAAAAAUAAUAAUAAUAAUUGAUGAAUACUAAAAAAACGCUACUAAAAAAACAUUCUGCGAUAAUUUCAUUUUCCAUGAGUAUUUUGCUGACAAUCUCCUGUUCGUCCAUUUCAAAUAUUAUACACUUUUUUUAUAAAAAUCUGUUCGUUGGGACCACGGUUUAUAUACUUUUCUGACCUGCACUAAGUUGACAUGACAUUGCACUGACUUACACUUCAUUGCACUAUGACGUCAUACGAGUGCCAUG
Non-coding RNA from Onthophagus taurus, 638 nucleotides. The record is from RefSeq and is a predicted model, not a curated record. Lineage: Eukaryota; Metazoa; Arthropoda; Insecta; Coleoptera; Scarabaeidae.